Molecule: ribosomal RNA, 558 nt
Filed under: uncultured bacterium
Lineage: Bacteria
Description: partial 16S ribosomal RNA
Rfam family: Bacterial small subunit ribosomal RNA
Source: RNAcentral
UGGGGAAUUUUGGACAAUGGGCGAAAGCCUGAUCCAGCAAUGCCGCGUGUGUGAAGAAGGCCUUCGGGUUGUAAAGCACUUUUGUCCGGAAAGAAAUCCUUGGCUCUAAUACAGUCGGGGGAUGACGGUACCGGAAGAAUAAGCACCGGCUAACUACGUGCCAGCAGCCGCGGUAAUACGUAGGGUGCAAGCGUUAAUCGGAAUUACUGGGCGUAAAGCGUGCGCAGGCGGUUUGCUAAGACCGAUGUGAAAUCCCCGGGCUCAACCUGGGAACUGCAUUGGUGACUGGCAGGCUAGAGUAUGGCAGAGGGGGGUAGAAUUCCACGUGUAGCAGUGAAAUGCGUAGAGAUGUGGAGGAAUACCGAUGGCGAAGGCAGCCCCCUGGCAAGUACUGACGCUCAUGCACGAAAGCGUGGGGGAGCAAACAGGAUUAGAUACCCUGGUAGUCCACGCCCUAAANGAUGUCAACUAGUUGUUGGGGAUUCAUUUCCUUAGUAACGUAGCUAACGCGUGAAGUUGACCGCCUGGGGAGUACGGUCGCAAGAUUAAAACUCAAAU